RNAcentral lists this ribosomal RNA (388 nucleotides) under uncultured bacterium. RNAcentral's name for it is "partial 16S ribosomal RNA". It matches the Rfam family "Bacterial small subunit ribosomal RNA", at positions 523 to 918 of the family's 1533-position model. The record is from RNAcentral.
AUACGUAGGUGGCGAGCGUUAUCCGGAAUUAUUGGGCGUAAAGGGUGCGUAGGCGGCACAUUAAGUCUAAGGUUAAAGUUCGAGGCUCAACUUCGGAUUGCCUUAGAAACUGGUGAGCUAGAGUGCAGGAGAGGGCAAUGGAAUUCCCUGUGUAGCGGUAAAAUGCGUAGAUAUAUGGAGGAACACCAGUGGCGAAGGCGGUUGCCUGGCCUGUAACUGACGCUGAGGCACGAAAGCGUGGGGAGCAAAUAGGAUUAGAUACCCUAGUAGUCCACGCUGUAAACGAUGAUUACUAAGUGUUGGAGAAAUUCAGUGCUGCAGUUAACGCAAUAAGUAAUCCGCCUGGGGAGUAUGCACGCAAGUGUGAAACUCAAAUGAAUUGACGGGG